GGGCACCUUAGUAGCCGGUUUUGCACGAAAUCUGCGGACGGGGGCCUUAAACAUAGCGCAGGAAAACCUGCGCGCGGCGGGGAGACCCGCCGGAGCUAAACGGAAGACAGAAA
Molecule: non-coding RNA, 113 nt
Filed under: unclassified sequences
Description: L2-Alphaproteobacteria ribosomal protein leader
Rfam family: L2-Alphaproteobacteria ribosomal protein leader
Source: RNAcentral